AAGUCGUAACAAGGUUUCCGUAGGUGAACCUGCGGAAGGAUCAUUAACACGUAUCCAACGUUAAACAACCCUGUGAACUUUCAGCCUGCUCUUGUAACCAUGAGGAACAGCAAUCCCGGGACCUCUGUCCAAAAAGGAGUUACAAUUGAGCGGUAGAGGCAGUGGCAUGGCUUCCCCAAGCAGUUAGUGAAUGACAGUGUCACUGAUUGUGUAAGGAUAACGCCUCACGGUUGCCAGAGGUCGAUCACCGACCGGCAGACAUGUCACAGGGUCACCACGCCCCUUAAUCACCCCAAUUUGAAAUUGCUCCUACCUGGUGGUAACGCACUGGGUCAAAAAAACCGAACAACUGUUAACAAUGGAUAUCUUGGUUCUC
Molecule: unclassified non-coding RNA, 376 nt
Filed under: fungal sp.
Lineage: Eukaryota; Fungi
Description: partial internal transcribed spacer region
Rfam family: Eukaryotic small subunit ribosomal RNA (bases 1-46)
Source: RNAcentral